RNAcentral lists this ribosomal RNA (498 nucleotides) under uncultured bacterium. Its description in RNAcentral is "partial 16S ribosomal RNA". It matches the Rfam family "Bacterial small subunit ribosomal RNA", at positions 28 to 507 of the family's 1533-position model. The record is from RNAcentral.
GACGAACGCUGGCGGCGUGCCUAAUACAUGCAAGUCGAACGAGAGCGACCGGUGCUUGCACUGGUCAAUCUAGUGGCGAACGGGUGAGUAACACGUGGGUAACCUGCCCAUCAGAGGGGGAUAACAUCCGGAAACGGAUGCUAAAACCGCAUAGGCCUUCGAGCCGCAUGGCUUGAAGAGGAAAAGAGGCGCAAGCUUCUGCUGAUGGAUGGACCCGCGGUGCAUUAGCUAGUUGGUGAGGUAACGGCUCACCAAGGCCGUGAUGCAUAGCCGACCUGAGAGGGUGAUCGGCCACAUUGGGACUGAGACACGGCCCAAACUCCUACGGGAGGCAGCAGUAGGGAAUCUUCCGCAAUGGACGCAAGUCUGACGGAGCAACGCCGCGUGAGUGAAGAAGGUUUUCGGAUCGUAAAACUCUGUUGUUAGAGAAGAACAAGUGCUAGAGUAACUGUUAGCGCCUUGACGGUAUCUAACCAGAAAGCCACGGCUAACUACGUG